This 450-nucleotide ribosomal RNA is filed under the name uncultured bacterium. RNAcentral describes it as "bacterial SSU rRNA". It matches the Rfam family "Bacterial small subunit ribosomal RNA", at positions 29 to 471 of the family's 1533-position model. The record is from RNAcentral.
AACGAACGCUGGCGGCGCGCCUAAUACAUGCAAGUCGAGCGAGAAGGUGUAGCAAUACACUUGUAAAGCGGCGAACGGGUGAGGAAUGCAUGGGUAACCUACCCUCGAGUGGGGAAUAACUAGCCGAAAGGUUAGCUAAUACCGCAUACGUUUCCGGAACUUCGGUUUCGGAAAGAAAGCAAUACCGUGGGUAUUGCGCUCAUGGAUGGGCUCAUGUCCUAUCAGCUUGUUGGUGAGGUAACGGCUCACCAAGGCUUCGACGGGUAGCUGGUCUGAGAGGACGAUCAGCCACACUGGCACUGCGACACGGGCCAGACUCCUACGGAGGCAGCAGUAAGGAAUAUUGCGCAAUGGACGAAAGUCUGACGCAGCGACGCCGCUGGGGGGAUGAAGGUCUUCGGAUUGUAAACCCUUCCGGUAGGGGAAGGAUGGAGUGGGUAACGACCUUGG